CAGCAGCCGCGGUAAUACGGAGGGUGCAAGCGUUAAUCGGAAUUACUGGGCGUAAAGCGCACGCAGGCGGUCUGACAAGUCAGAUGUGAAAUCCCCGGGCUUAACCUGGGAACUGCAUUUGAAACUGUCAGGCUGGAGUCUUGUAGAGGGGGGUAGAAUUCCAGGUGUAGCGGUGAAAUGCGUAGAGAUCUGGAGGAAUACCGGUGGCGAAGGCGGCCCCCUGGACAAAGACUGACGCUCAGGUGCGAAAGCGUGGGGAGCAAACAGGAUUAGAUACCCGCGUAGUCCCUGUCUCUUAUAC
Molecule: ribosomal RNA, 301 nt
Filed under: uncultured bacterium
Lineage: Bacteria
Description: partial 16S ribosomal RNA
Rfam family: Bacterial small subunit ribosomal RNA
Source: RNAcentral